CUUCUUAUCCAUUUCAUCUUGGACUUGUGGCCUCUCAUACCUCAUCUUCCUUACAGUCCUCCAUAUGAAAUCCCCCUAAAGUAGGAACAAAGCUUUGGCCAACUGCUCCUCCCAUCUUUCCGUGGUCUUUACUUAGGAACUGUGUGUUUAAUAUACGUGACACAGGGUUUCUCCCACAUCCCUGAGCAGAAACAAGCUGUGUCUGUAUUUUGCACUGUACUCACCCCCAUGCUAAACCCCCUCAUCUACAUCCUGAGAAACAAGGAUGUGGUGGGGCUCUUCAGAAAGUUCUGGG
RNAcentral lists this long non-coding RNA (295 nucleotides) under Homo sapiens (human). RNAcentral describes it as "non-protein coding lnc-OR2T29-2:1". The record is from RNAcentral. Lineage: Eukaryota; Metazoa; Chordata; Mammalia; Primates; Hominidae.